Molecule: ribosomal RNA, 711 nt
Filed under: Escherichia coli
Lineage: Bacteria; Pseudomonadati; Pseudomonadota; Gammaproteobacteria; Enterobacterales; Enterobacteriaceae
Description: partial 23S ribosomal RNA
Rfam family: Bacterial large subunit ribosomal RNA
Source: RNAcentral
CGGGACACGUGGUAUCCUGUCUGAAUAUGGGGGGACCAUCCUCCAAGGCUAAAUACUCCUGACUGACCGAUAGUGAACCAGUACCGUGAGGGAAAGGCGAAAAGAACCCCGGCGAGGGGAGUGAAAAAGAACCUGAAACCGUGUACGUACAAGCAGUGGGAGCACGCUUAGGCGUGUGACUGCGUACCUUUUGUAUAAUGGGUCAGCGACUUAUAUUCUGUAGCAAGGUUAACCGAAUAGGGGAGCCGAAGGGAAACCGAGUCUUAACUGGGCGUUAAGUUGCAGGGUAUAGACCCGAAACCCGGUGAUCUAGCCAUGGGCAGGUUGAAGGUUGGGUAACACUAACUGGAGGACCGAACCGACUAAUGUUGAAAAAUUAGCGGAUGACUUGUGGCUGGGGGUGAAAGGCCAAUCAAACCGGGAGAUAGCUGGUUCUCCCCGAAAGCUAUUUAGGUAGCGCCUCGUGAAUUCAUCUCCGGGGGUAGAGCACUGUUUCGGCAAGGGGGUCAUCCCGACUUACCAACCCGAUGCAAACUGCGAAUACCGGAGAAUGUUAUCACGGGAGACACACGGCGGGUGCUAACGUCCGUCGUGAAGAGGGAAACAACCCAGACCGCCAGCUAAGGUCCCAAAGUCAUGGUUAAGUGGGAAACGAUGUGGGAAGGCCCAGACAGCCAGGAUGUUGGCUUAGAAGCAGCCAUCAUUUAAAGA